RNAcentral lists this unclassified non-coding RNA (372 nucleotides) under fungal sp. Its description in RNAcentral is "partial internal transcribed spacer region". Lineage: Eukaryota; Fungi. The record is from RNAcentral.
AAGUCGUAUUUCCGUAGGUGAACCUGCGGAAGGAUCAUUAACACGUAUCCAAACGUUAAACCCCUGUGAACCUUCACCUGUACUCGUACGUCCGUUAGAAAAAGAUCCCUGGUAAAUCAUCGCCGAACAGUUUUCGAUUCAGGGACGUAAGGAGCGCAUGUCGUGCGAAGCAAGUGGCCUGGCAUCCCCAAGCAGUUAGUGUCUGAAAGUGUCAUUAAUUGUGUAAGGGACGCAGUCACGAUCGUUGGAGGCCCACACGGCCGACCGAGUCACUGGGCGCAAGCCCCCUCUAACAAACGCUGCCAAUCGCGGCCGCUAAUACGCAGUCGACCAAAAACCGAACAACUGUUAACAAUGGAUAUCUUGGUUCUC